GUGAAACACAAGAGUGCUCUUUAUUGAGGCUCGUUUUAACUAUCCAUUACACUUAGUGCACUUGAAAACACCUUCAAACUCGUUCAUCCCUUUUAACGGGGAUAACUCGUUUGAUUGUAUUUACUUUAACCCCUUUGAAAUUUUAAACAAAGAUGAUGAUGUAUAACCAUGAAAUUUGAAAGA
Molecule: unclassified non-coding RNA, 183 nt
Filed under: Kondoa yuccicola
Lineage: Eukaryota; Fungi; Basidiomycota; Agaricostilbomycetes; Agaricostilbales; Kondoaceae
Description: ITS 1
Source: RNAcentral